RNAcentral lists this unclassified non-coding RNA (2081 nucleotides) under Hevea brasiliensis (rubber tree). Lineage: Eukaryota; Viridiplantae; Streptophyta; Magnoliopsida; Malpighiales; Euphorbiaceae. The record is from RNAcentral.
AGAGAAGAAUUGACUGAAAUCUUGAUAUUUCUUUGAUAGUCUUCUAUUACACCCUCUUCAGUUAUUUAUACAACUUCUCUUGCCCAACUAAUUGUUCCCGCCAACUAUAACAGCUACUUGACUUAUCUAACUACCUCAUCCCGCUCAUCUCAACUACAUCCUUCUCAUUUUACUCUCUUCACCGUAAAAUUACAGCCCUUUAUCCCCCUUGUUAGUAAUCAUAACAUUCCCCACUUCAAAUCAUUCUUGUCCUCAAUAAUAAGGGAAGCUGAAAUAUAACACUGAAACUGUUGCCUCCAUAUCCAGAAAACUACCAGCAAUGUUCAGCAGCAAGAAAAUAACCACAAAGAAUCAAAAGAUGUCAAUGUAUUCCAACAUUUUGGGUUUCCUCUUGCGUGAUUUCAGGAAAGACUUCUGCCGCUGCAGCACAAUGAAGCAUAAUGUUGACUCCACUCAAAUAUACCAGCACCAGCAUGCCAAUCAGUUUCCUUCGUCAUAGUUGCCUUUCUUUCUCUGCGUUCUCCAUCUUUCAAAUACAUCUUCUUUAAGAAUUACAGAUGCAACUUUCUUCAAAAGUAAUUUCUUCUUCAGCCUUCUCAAUAUCUCUUCUCCAUGGAAAUUAGGUAGUCACAAGAAUAGAACUCAUAAUCAUGGACCUCUAGAAUUAGUAAGCUCCAUCCAUCCCAUUACUCCAAGAAAUUUCAGGUUUACAUACUGUAGGUUGUGCAGCUUGAAUAGACUCCUUCAAUAUUGCUAUUUUCUGAUCCAGCACUUCUUUCUAACUGAGGCAAAAUCAUCCUUUGUGUCAUUGAGCGAAGGGCUCUCACUUCAGAUUCAGCUCCAUGAAGCUGUUGCACAACAGCUGUAGCCUCCUCUUUUGCAUUCUCCACUUCAGAUCUAAUAGAUGCAACUUCCUUAUCCACCAUAUUAUUUUGUUUUGCUUCCUUGAGUGCAGCCUCUCUUUGUCGCAAAGCAGCUUCCUUUCUGCAGAUGGAAGUGCAGCAUGUCAUAACAAGAACAUUAAGAAGAAAAAUAGACAAUCAUCAAUGAAGUUGUUAGAACAACAACUUUCCUGCUCAAUAAUUUAGCUUCCAAAGAUACUCCUUCGCCAAGAGCAGCAACCUGCUUCUGAAGCUCUUUAACUCUGGCCUCUGCUUCCUUGCAUCUCUCUUCCUCAAGCCUGAGCUUCUCAAGGAUGUUCUCAUUCUCUUCUUGUAGCAUAUCAAGUUCAUCACGAAGAGCAGAGGCCUCGCGCUGAUCUCCUGUAUCUUUAGAGUUAAAGUGUCCCACAUCUGAUGAGAAUCUUUUACUGUCUCUCUGCCCGUUUCUGGGAGGCUCCAUUGGUGGUAAAGAAACCGCAGUCCUCAGUGAUCCUUUACUGGUUGGCAGCGGCGGUGCUGUUCGAAAGGAAAUUGAGGACCUUCCAGCUGAUGUUGAACGAACCGAUGGAGUUUCCUCUACCAUGUUCCGAGAUAAGGCAGGGGAAGGAGAUCUAGUGAUCCAGCUAGAUGGAACCGUAGGUUUAGUAUUAGUAGUAGCAGCAGAGUUAAGAUUCCUAGAAAGAGAGAGAGGAGGUGGUGCACUAUAUCUAAACCCUAGAUCGUCACCAUCGUCCUCGUCAUCGUCAGUGGUUUGAGAAGCCAUGACCUGAGCCAAGCGCUGAGCAGCUGCUUUGGCAGCGAAAUUUUGGUUUCUCUUGACGGUGGAAAGUCCGGUGACAGAAGAGGAGCGCGAGUGGUGGUGACGUCCAGGCGACAUUACCACCGGAGAUGACGGACCAGUGCCAGCAGAGGCGCUGGGAUCGCUGCUCCAUUGGCGCGAGUAGAUGGGGCUGUCGGUUCUGUUCCGGUCCAUAAAAGAGAAAAGCGGAGACAGUGAGCGAGGGAAAUGAUUGAUGUCUGAAAAUUGAGGAAUGCCUAGAUCUGCGUGCAAUAGAGAGAGAUAAACGCACGACGUUGGAGGGAGAAACAAGCGGAGAGAUGUCAGUAUCCGUCUCACUCUCAAGACCAUCCACAGAAGCUGGUCUUGGAAGUGCGCGCGUGCAUCCUGUACAAAGGAAACAAGACAGAGAUAUGCUUUUC